UAUGGUAGUUACUCUCUGCAAGCUACA
This 27-nucleotide non-coding RNA is filed under the name Rattus norvegicus (Norway rat). Lineage: Eukaryota; Metazoa; Chordata; Mammalia; Rodentia; Muridae. The record is from RNAcentral.